UUUUCUUUCUGGCUUGUCUUGCAGUACCCAUCAGGAGCAAUUCUUAAAGUGCAGGGCCUUUGAACAGCCCCACGACACAGUGCAGUCAAGCUAUGGAUGCAGAGGACAAUCCCCAUGGCUGUCACCAAGGAUGGGAAUUUUAAACAAGAUUUAAGAGGAGAGGAAGGAAGGAAGAAAAGAAUGAUGCUUAUUCCCAGGGACAGAUUCCCAAUGGAAUUUCAGGGAUCUUCAAAGCGCUUCCGCGGCACCUGCGGCGCUGGACCUGGAGCCGCCCCUGCCCGCAGCCCAGCAGCUCCGCAGCUCCUGCCUUCCGCGGAGGAGGAGCCGCUGCGGGUGAUUUAGGGCCGGGCGGUUCCGCUGGCGGCCGCCAAGGUACCUAUUAUCACUCAGGCCGGCCUAGAUUUCAGAAAUUCUUCUCCGACGUUGCUCCCUCGGGGAAGCACCGGGAUACCACCUUGGAAGAAAACCGGGGAGCCACACUUAGGAGGGGCGAAAAGGCCUCUGUGUCUCUGCCCUACCAUACCCAGGCCCUCCUCUUGCCACUGGAUUAGUAUGGGACACCAGUCCAGGCUCUGCUGCUUCAUGCUGUCAUUCAACAACAGGAGACAACAAUUAGUAUGAACCCAACGCUUUCUGCAUGCCUUGCUAAGUACACACUCUACCUAUACUUCUGUCGCCACCCCAACUGCCAACAACAAAACUGUUUUCAGAGGAUGUGGGUUCGAUUCCCAGGACCCACAAGGCAGCUAGCUCACAACUCCAAAGCCAGGGUAUUGGAAGCCCUCUUCUGAACUACCCUGAAUCUCAUCGUACAUACAGGCAAAAACACCCAUACAAAAAAUAAAAUAAUCGUUUUUAAAACUUUAAAAA
Long non-coding RNA from Mesocricetus auratus (golden hamster), 870 nucleotides. RefSeq lists it as uncharacterized. The transcript is spliced from 2 exons. The record is from RefSeq and is a predicted model, not a curated record. Lineage: Eukaryota; Metazoa; Chordata; Mammalia; Rodentia; Cricetidae.